RNAcentral lists this ribosomal RNA (669 nucleotides) under Rhizobium sp. E913. RNAcentral's name for it is "bacterial SSU rRNA". It matches the Rfam family "Bacterial small subunit ribosomal RNA", at positions 48 to 748 of the family's 1533-position model. Lineage: Bacteria; Pseudomonadati; Pseudomonadota; Alphaproteobacteria; Hyphomicrobiales; Rhizobiaceae. The record is from RNAcentral.
UAGAUACCCUGUAGUCAUGAGUUUGACCCUGCCUCAGCAUUAGAUGGCCCUGCGAGUGACGGGUGAGUAACACGUGGGAAUCUACCCAUCACUACGGAACAACUCCGGGAAACUGGAGCUAAUACCGUAUACGUCCUUCGGGAGAAAGAUUUAUCGGUGAUGGAUGAGCCCGCGUUGGAUUAGCUAGUUGGUGGGGUAAAGGCCUACCAAGGCGACGAUCCAUAGCUGGUCUGAGAGGAUGAUCAGCCACACUGGGACUGAGACACGGCCCAGACUCCUACGGGAGGCAGCAGUGGGGAAUAUUGGACAAUGGGCGCAAGCCUGAUCCAGCCAUGCCGCGUGAGUGAUGAAGGCCCUAGGGUUGUAAAGCUCUUUCACCGGUGAAGAUAAUGACGGUAACCGGAGAAGAAGCCCCGGCUAACUUCGUGCCAGCAGCCGCGGUAAUACGAAGGGGGCUAGCGUUGUUCGGAAUUACUGGGCGUAAAGCGCACGUAGGCGGAUCGUUAAGUGAGGGGUGAAAUCCCAGGGCUCAACCCUGGAACUGCCUCUCAUACUGGCGAUCUCGAGUUCGAGAGAGGUGAGUGGAAUUGCGAGUGUAGAGGUGAAAUUCGUAGAUAUUCGCAGGAACACCAGUGUCAAAGUCGUCCCGGCGCCUCAUUACAUACCCUG